CCUACGGGAGGCAGCAGUGAGGAAUAUUGGUCAAUGGGCGAGAGCCUGAACCAGCCAAGUCGCGUGAAGGAUGAAGGAUCUAUGGUUUGUAAACUUCUUUUAUAUGGGAAUAAAGUGAGGAACGUGUUCCUUUUUGUAUGUACCAUAUGAAUAAGCAUCGGCUAACUCCGUGCCAGCAGCCGCGGUAAUACGGAGGAUGCGAGCGUUAUCCGGAUUUAUUGGGUUUAAAGGGUGCGUAGGUGGUUAAUUAAGUCAGCGGUGAAAGUUUGUGGCUCAACCAUAAAAUUGCCGUUGAAACUGGUUGGCUUGAGUGUGGGAGAGGUUAGUGGAACUCCUAGUGUAGCGGUGGAAUGCGUAGAUAUUAGGAAGAACAUCAGAGGCGAAGGCGACUAACUGGAACAUUACUGACACUGAAACACGAAAGCGUGGGGAGCAAACAGGAUUAGAUACCCGAGUAGUC
This 460-nucleotide ribosomal RNA is filed under the name uncultured bacterium. RNAcentral's name for it is "partial 16S ribosomal RNA". It matches the Rfam family "Bacterial small subunit ribosomal RNA", at positions 338 to 795 of the family's 1533-position model. The record is from RNAcentral.